AGUAGUAGUAUAUGUAUAUGGAUUUAGUUUUUCAACCUCUGACACAGAAAAAUAUCCCAUGCGCUUUCUUAGAGGUUUUCUACAUUUCAAGAUUGACAUAGAGAUGAUGCUUGGUAGAACUAUAUUUACUACUGUGACGUUUUAUUUCUUUGGAGUCACGUGGUGUGUUGUAGCACCUAUAAUACUAUUGCUUGUCGUGAUACUUAAAGCACUCCAGUAUGAGCCAAUAAAGUUAGGAUCCUAUGUUUAUCCUAACUGGGCCAAUGCUUUAGGUUGGCUUACUGUUCUGUUUUCUGUGUUCUUCAUACCUGGCUGGUGGAUGUAUUAUUUUAUAACAAAGGACA
Long non-coding RNA from Mytilus californianus (California mussel), 344 nucleotides. RefSeq lists it as uncharacterized. The record is from RefSeq and is a predicted model, not a curated record. Lineage: Eukaryota; Metazoa; Mollusca; Bivalvia; Mytilida; Mytilidae. The transcript has 3 exons.